UACGUAGGGUGCAAGCGUUGUCCGGAAUUAUUGGGCGUAAAGAGCUCGUAGGCGGCUUGUCACAUCGGAUGUGAAAAUCCAGGGCUCAACCCUGGACCUGCAUUCGAUACGGGCAGGCUAGAAUUCGGUAGGGGAGUCUGGAAUUCCUGGUGUAGCGGUGAAAUGCGCAGAUAUCAGGAGGAACACCGGUGGCGAAGGCGGGACUCUGGGCCGAUAUUGACGCUGAGGAGCGAAAGCGUGGGGAGCGAACAGG
This 253-nucleotide ribosomal RNA is filed under the name uncultured bacterium. RNAcentral's name for it is "partial 16S ribosomal RNA". It matches the Rfam family "Bacterial small subunit ribosomal RNA", at positions 524 to 776 of the family's 1533-position model. The record is from RNAcentral.